Molecule: long non-coding RNA, 437 nt
Filed under: Setaria italica (foxtail millet)
Lineage: Eukaryota; Viridiplantae; Streptophyta; Magnoliopsida; Poales; Poaceae
Description: long non-coding RNA (SITA_LNC002153)
Source: RNAcentral
UAGCUCAGCUCAUCUCGUCUGCUGUUUGAUCUCGUAAUCUCAGCAGAGUGAGAAGCCUAGCUGCAACUCAAGCUUUAGUUUCCUCCCAAAACAAAAAUUUAAGGUUGCAUUGUGAGUGAGGUAGCAGGAUGUGCGGCAUCCUUGCUGUGCUGGGCUGCGCCGACGAGGCUUCGCUGCAGGGAAAGAAGCGCGCCCGCGUGCUGGAGCUGUCGCGCCGGCUCAAGCACCGGGGCCCAGACUGGAGCGGGCUGCGGCAGGUGGGCGACUGCUACCUCUCCCACCAGCGCCUCGCCAUCAUCGACCCGGCCUCCGGCGACCAGCCCCUCUACAACGAGGACGAGUCCGUCGUCGUCACCGUCAACGGCGAGAUCUACAACCACGAGAACCUCAGGACCCACCUCUCCGCUGCCGGCCACAAGUUCAGGACUGGCAGCGAC